Clonostachys solani is the source of this 141-nucleotide non-coding RNA. The record is from the annotation of a GenBank genome assembly. NCBI's taxonomy places the organism in Eukaryota, Fungi, Ascomycota, Sordariomycetes, Hypocreales, Bionectriaceae.
GGGCGUGUGGUCUAGGGGUAUGGCGUUCGGUGAGUUUCCAUCUUCCCAAAAGAAUAAUUCGAGCGUAAAUUAACAGGAAUAGCUUCGCAUCUUCUGAUAGCGCUUUGCGAAAGGUCCGGGGUUCAAUUCCCCGUUCGUCCA